GACGAACGCUGGCGGCGUGCUUAACACAUGCAAGUCGAACGGAAAGGCCCUGCUUUUGUGGGGUGCUCGAGUGGCGAACGGGUGAGUAACACGGGAGUAACCUGCCCUGGACUUUGGGAUAACUUCAGGAAACUGGGGCUAAUACCGGAUAGGAGCUCCUGCUGCAGGGUGGGGGUUGGAAAGUUUCGGCGGUUGGGGAUGGACUCGCGGCUUAUCAGCUUGUUGGUGGGGUAGUGGCUUACCAAGGCUUUGACGGGUAGCCGGCCUGAGAGGGUGACCGGCCACAUUGGGACUGAGAUACGGCCCAGACUCCUACGGGAGGCAGCAGUGGGGAAUAUUGCACAAUGGGCGGAAGCCUGAUGCAGCAACGCCGCGUGCGGGAUGACGGCCUUCGGGUUGUAAACCGCUUUCGCCUGUGACGAAGCGUGAGUGACGGUAAUGGGUAAAGAAGCACCGGCUAACUACGUG
Molecule: ribosomal RNA, 468 nt
Filed under: uncultured bacterium
Lineage: Bacteria
Description: partial 16S ribosomal RNA
Rfam family: Bacterial small subunit ribosomal RNA
Source: RNAcentral